CAAUAGCGUAUAUUAAAGUUGUUGCAGUUAAAAAGCUCGUAGUUGGAUUUCUGGUGGGAGCGGCCGGUCCGCCGUAAGGUGUGUACUUGGUUGUCUCCUGUCAUCCUUGUGGGAACUGCUCUGGCAUUAAGUUGUCGGGGUUAGGGAACACAUCGUUUACUGUGAAAAAAUUAGAGUGUUUAAAGCAGGCUUAUGCCGUUGAAUACAUUAGCAUGGAAUAAUAAGAUAGGACUUUGGCGUCUAUUUUGUUGGUUUGCACACCAAGGUAAUGAUUAAUAGGGAUAGUUGGGGGUAUUCGUAUUUAAUUGUCAGAGGUGAAAUUCUUGGAUUUAUGAAAGACGAACUUCUGCGAAAGCAUUUACCAAAGAUGUUUUCAUUAA
Molecule: ribosomal RNA, 380 nt
Filed under: uncultured eukaryote
Lineage: Eukaryota
Description: partial 18S ribosomal RNA
Rfam family: Eukaryotic small subunit ribosomal RNA
Source: RNAcentral